This 402-nucleotide ribosomal RNA is filed under the name uncultured prokaryote. Its description in RNAcentral is "bacterial SSU rRNA". It matches the Rfam family "Bacterial small subunit ribosomal RNA", at positions 355 to 774 of the family's 1533-position model. The record is from RNAcentral.
UGGGCAAUAUUGGACAAUGGGCGAAAGCCUGAUCCAGCCAUGCCGCGUGAGUGAUGAAGGCCCUAGGGUUGUAAAGCUCUUUCACCGGGGAAGAUAAUGACGGUACCCGGAGAAGAAGCCCCGGCUAACUUCGUGCCAGCAGCCGCGGUAAUACGAAGGGGGCUAGCGUUGUUCGGAAUUACUGGGCGUAAAGCGCACGUAGGCGGACUAUUAAGUCAGGGGUGAAAUCCCGGGGCUCAACCCCGGAACUGCCUUUGAUACUGGUAGUCUAGAGUUCGAGAGAGGUGAGUGGAAUUCCGAGUGUAGAGGUGAAAUUCGUAGAUAUUCGGAGGAACACCAGUGGCGAAGGCGGCUCACUGGCUCGAUACUGACGCUGAGGUGCGAAAGCGUGGGGAGCAAACA